RNAcentral lists this ribosomal RNA (440 nucleotides) under uncultured bacterium. Its description in RNAcentral is "partial 16S ribosomal RNA". It matches the Rfam family "Bacterial small subunit ribosomal RNA", at positions 338 to 795 of the family's 1533-position model. The record is from RNAcentral.
CCUACGGGAGGCAGCAGUGGGGGAUAUUGCACAAUGGGGGAAACCCUGAUGCAGCGACGCCGCGUGUGGGAAGACGGUCCUCUGGAUUGUAAACCACUGUCCCCAGGGACGAAGAUGACGGUACCUGGGGAGGAAGCUCCGGCUAACUACGUGCCAGCAGCCGCGGUAAAACGUAGGGAGCGAGCGUUGUCCGGAAUUACUGGGGGAAAAGGGAGCGUAGGCGGGAGUGAAAGUUGGGUGUCAAAUCUACCGGCUCAACCGGUAGCAGCACUCAAAACUGCAGGUCUUGAGUGAAGUAGAGGCAGGCGGAAUGCAUGGUGUAGCGGUGAAAUGCGUAGAUAUUAGGAGGAACACCAGUGGCGAGGGCGGCCUGCUGGGCGUUUACUGACGCUGAGGCUCGAAAGUGUGGGGAGCAAACAGGAUUAGAUACCCCAGUAGUC